GAUAUUGGACAAUGGGCGAAAGCCUGAUCCAGCCAUGCCGCGUGUGUGAAGAAGGUCUUCGGAUUGUAAAGCUCUCUAAGUUGGGAGGAAGGGCAGUAAGUUAAUACCUUGCUGUUUUGACGUUACCGACAGAAUAAGCACCGGCUAACUGCUUGCCAGCAGCCGCGGUAAUACGAAGGGUGCAGGCGUUAAUCGGAAUUACUGGGCGUAAAGCACGCGUAGGGGGUUCGUUAAGUUGGAAGUGAAAGCCCCGGGCUUAACCUGGGAAUUGCUUUCAAAACAGACGAGCUAGAGUACGGUAGAGGGUAGUGGAAUUUCCUGUGUAGCGGUGAAAUGCGUAGAUAUAGAAAGGAACAUCAGUGGCGAAGGCGACUACCUGGACGGAUACUGACACUGAGGUGCGAAAGCGUGGGGAGCAAACAGG
This 424-nucleotide ribosomal RNA is filed under the name uncultured bacterium. Its description in RNAcentral is "partial 16S ribosomal RNA". It matches the Rfam family "Bacterial small subunit ribosomal RNA", at positions 359 to 776 of the family's 1533-position model. The record is from RNAcentral.